UUUGCACGUUUCCUGUUAACCGUGGUGUCUUUUAUAAUUUUCUUUGUGUUACUGAGCAUCUUUUCAUUUGAGUUCUGCGUUUUAAAAUGUAAAUAAGAUUACUUUUCAAACCGUUAAUGCUGCAAGUAUGUUAACUGUGCGUUACAUUCGCAUUCAAGGUCGUACGACUCAGCAAAACUGCAUACGGUGUGCACCAUGCGGUAUUCGUAUUCGUAUUGGCGUCUAGCGUGUUCUUUCGUAUGAGGUUUGGUAUUUCGACUUAAAUAUCGUUGUUAAUCGUUGCAUAUCACAUAUAAAGUGCUAAAUGUGUUGUUUAGAAUUCGAAGAAGUAUAACUGAAUUUCCAGUUGGAAAUCAUGUGAUGCAUAAUUAAAGUUAUCGAGUGUUAAUGGAUGUUUGUAACAAACCUCUGAGUUAUUACUUAGUGGUGAACCGUAAGUUAAGUGCAUUGUUACUACGGAGAAUCAGUUUGAACCUGCAAGUGAUUAAAUGUUAUACUAGUUCUAAUCAACCUUCAGUGUCAAGAAUUAUCCACAACCUGUCAGUGAAGUCUACUUGUGAUUCAAAAAUGAGACAAUUAGGAGCAGUUGUUUUAUAAAGUUCUGUAAUGAAGAAAUUAUGCAGAAUGCAAUUAUUUUGAGUGACUUCAGCGUGAAUAGCCGUGGGAAAUGUACAACGCUGCAUUAUUCAGUUAUUUUAAUGGUAAAGUGUUGCAUCUUUGGUGCAUUUACAGCUGGAUGCUAUUUUAAAUAGCAAAAAUCGUCUCAGAGUGUAACUUUAUUAGUUAAUGACUUCUUAAGAAGUUGCCUACACAAACAUCUUAUUUAUAAAGAUGUUAUUGAUAUUUAUGUUGUGAUUGUUUUCAUGUUUUCUAAGUGAUGAUAAAGUUUUGGUUUAGUGUUCAGCCCCCGCAGACAACCGAAUCGUUUUGCCAGACCAGGCUGUUGAUUCAAUUAUCGGCGAGACUUCGACACUUUGUCGCUUAUUAUUUGCUCAGUUUGCGCCCGAACUUGAUCCUCGGAUUUUUAUUCCCUAUCUGUUUUUGUGCGUGUGUCGUAUUUCGGCGACUCUCGCAGUGGUAAUAUAAAAAGAGAACUUUUUUUUAGGUCACACAUCAACGAGUGAGUGUAUAUUUCUAUCCAAACACAUUAGAGUAUUAGGAAAGCAAAGAAACUAAGCCAAUAGAGCGUAGUAUAUCGUGACGAAAGUAAAAGUAUCGAAAGCGGACAAAAAAUGGAUGGUAGACAUACAGUGUGCAAAAAGUGACACUUAAUCUUAUCACACUUUUCAUUACGGAGCGUUUUUUUCUUUGAGUUGCUCAGGUUUAUUUAUGUGAAUACUUACAUUUGCCUUUUUGUAAGUUUAACAACAUUGAGCGACGUUUAAACUAUCGUAUUUUAAAACUUCGAACUUUGUUCGCAUACUACAGGGAAAUGUAAGGUUAUAAAUACAUGGGAGUAAGUUUUACUCACGGUCCUGGCCGGUGGUGACUAAAGUACUACUUUUCGGGCCACGAAACCAUGGAAAAAGUGACGCUUUAAAGGUGAAAGUAGGAAAACUGUUUUAACAAUCAGUUCUGUAGAUUUUCAAGGCACAAACUACUAAUUGUCUAAUUGAGCUGAUACUAUUAAGAUCCAAUUCAAAUUAUUGAUUUUUUCAAGUGUUUAAAAGUAUUAUUCUACGCAUUCCGUAGCCUUCUCUUCAUUUGUUUACUUAAAAAUAAGUUAUUUUAUUAAAAUCGCCUGAAAAAAAUAUUAUACAAUAAUACCAGAAAGAAUAACAAGAAAAACCAGAAAUUAUAUGAGAAAAGAUGAAAACCUUAUUUGACCAGUAAUAUAUCUACUUAUGAUACUUUUUUUAUACGUUGGUUAUAUUGAAAUAAGUUUAGUUACAGUCAAAGCAAACUCAAAUGAAAACAGAAUACUCUGAAGUAUCUUAACACAAAAAAAAAAACAUCCCUCAUCUUUUUUUGCUUGUCGUCUGAAAAAAUAAAAGACUGUAUAUUUAAACGUCAUUCAACGUUAACGCAAACGAGAUUGUUAGAGAGAUGUGAGGAGACUAUUCGAGAUCGGCAAGCAAAUAUCGAAAACACAUUCGCGUGUUUGAAUGUUUGCACGUUUGAACGUCGUGCCGGCCGUGCGUCGGAAUGGUGUUUGAAUGUUUGAAAAGAUGCAAACAGUCGAAUAUAUCGAUAUUUGCGUCCGUCGACGUUCGCCGACAGUCUAGACUCGCGACACAAAAAAACAUAAACUGAUGUAUCUGGUAAAUAGCAAAGCAAAGGAAUAAAACACACAUUGAAGGGAUGGGAUACUAAAGACAUACUAAAAUACUAAAAGAAGGACGCAAAGGAAGAUGAAGUAUAAAAAUAAAAUAGGGCUUUGAAAAAAUGUAUGAAACGGUAAAGCGAUAUGUAUUGUAUAUUGCUGAUGAUUUUUGGUGCUUUGUUUGCCUUGUGCUUGAAGUGGUUUUUGUUGGUUAGAAAAUGUUUAUAAAUUAGGUGAAUUCCGACGUGUUCGGUUUGGGCUUUGAUGUGUUCAAAGUGAAGCACAGAUCGAUUGCUUUGUAAAUACGGCGACGCUUUUGUUUUCUUGUUUGUUCGAAUCGAUUCGAGCGAGUCAACAGCGAAAUUACAUUGUUAAAGUGCGUUAUUAUUUUUUAAAGUAGGUUGUGACGCUUUGUUACAUUUAUUUAAAUUAAUUAUUAAAAUGUUGCAAUGGACACAUUGUAGGUAUAUCAAAACUCAUAUUUUUAUUUCAAAACUAGCUGUUGCCCGCGACUUCGUUGCGGCAGUGUUUAAUAAAAAUGUAAUUCGUUUUUAUUCUCUUGUUCUAGACAUACUCGUAGUAAGAGUCAAUUCUAUCAAUAAGAUUAGCAAUUUUAAUUUAAAGAAAUUAUGCAUAUAAAGUUUUGUCAAUAAUGCACUUCAGCGCGCCAUCUCGAAUUCAACUAUUUAACUAUAACUAUGAUUGAAUCUCAAUGUCAAAUUUUAUUCUAUAGAAAAGAGCUGUUUUGAGGA
Dalotia coriaria is the source of this 3015-nucleotide long non-coding RNA. RefSeq lists it as uncharacterized. Lineage: Eukaryota; Metazoa; Arthropoda; Insecta; Coleoptera; Staphylinidae. The record is from RefSeq and is a predicted model, not a curated record. The transcript has 3 exons.